ACUAAAUAGACCACAGAAGAGCAAAUCUGAUGAUGCCAGCAAAGACUCGGAGUGGCAGGAUUACUGUGAUUACUGAGGCUGAUGUCUCGAGGAAGCAAAAACAUGGGCAGACUUACUAAUUUUAUUUCCUCUUUUACUCCUAUAAGGUCACUUUGUAGGAGGACUCUUCUGACAAUUUUAUUUAUGUUUUUUAAUAUCUGGCAUAGGGAAGAAGCCAACAAAUGACAUUUCUGGUGAAGUCACGACAACGCAGUGUGCAUGGGGUAAAAAAUGGUUCCAUCGCCAAGAGCGUUAAGUUCUGCUCGUCAAUGAGGCAACUCGGACUUGACAGUUGAGGGUGUCAGGCCAACAUUCCUUCAGUGCAGAAAGAGCGAGCAGAGGGUCAGCUGUAGAAGCAAAGGUGUAGACAAUGAAAUCAAAUAGAUGACGUGGAGAGACCCAGUGUGCUCAAUCCACGGGAACUGCGAAAACCUUCUCGUCAGUGUGGUGGACUGAGCCCCACACGCUAAACAUGCUGGACGAAAUACACUGAGGGAAAAAGUUUUAAAUACAUCCCCAGGAGCACACACAGAAAGGAAAAUCCCCAGGUGCCUAAGCCAAGGAAACCAGCAUAAGAAGAGUCACCAGCUGCCGAAGAGGUGGGCAGGGGACCGAGGGCUGGCCAACCAAAAUGCACCCCUGCUGGCCACAGGGGUGAGUAUAAGAAAGUACAGUCUGAAGAAGGGCGGGUGCCCCAAGCUCGUCCCUACGUAUCUUUCCUGGAACUUUUUUCUGGAACUACCAGCACAAUCACUUUUUCUCCCUCCACUGGAGCUGCUAAGCUGUGUGGAUUUAGAGCUAGGAUUCUGGGCAUUGGCUUGUCCAGCAUGUGGAGAAAGUCUGCUGGAAAAUGGAGAGAAAUAUGGUCUCCUGAGGGCAUUGUUUGAGCCCCUGAAGCCACAUAAGCCCCUGGAUCGGUCGAUAAUGCACGUCAAUGAAUCCUUUUGUUCCUAAGCUAGUUCAAGUUGGAUUUGUAUACUAACCCAAUCAACCACCGCCUCCACUUCCCAAUCCUGCUGACCUCCUCGAGAGAACAACUGUCAACAGUUGAUGCUCCCCUCUGGGACUCGGCCACCUGUGGAGACCAGACAGGUGCUCCUGCAACAUCUUCAGCUGAGUCUCAGCUGGAAGCCAGCGCCAACCACCAUUCACAUGAGUGAGCAAGCCUGCAGGUGAUUCCAGCCCCAGGGGACGCCGAGUGAGCACAGCCGAGCGUCCCCACCCAGCCCUGUGCAAGUCACCGAUUCCUGAGCAAAUUAAUUUUGGGGCGGUUUGCUAGAUAGCAGUAGAUGACCAGAACCACGCUUAUGCAGACAUAGUUUGCUUUGAUUUGCUUUUUAUAUAAACAGGAUCAUAGCCUAUUGAUCUUCAACUAGCUAAUUUUUUUCGUGUGUAACACUUUGCCCUGGGGUUCUCUCCAUGUCAACAAAUAAAG
RNAcentral lists this long non-coding RNA (1474 nucleotides) under Equus asinus (donkey). RNAcentral describes it as "lncRNA (ENSEASG00005027422.1)". The record is from RNAcentral. Lineage: Eukaryota; Metazoa; Chordata; Mammalia; Perissodactyla; Equidae.